This 270-nucleotide ribosomal RNA is filed under the name uncultured archaeon. RNAcentral describes it as "partial 16S ribosomal RNA". It matches the Rfam family "Archaeal small subunit ribosomal RNA", at positions 477 to 747 of the family's 1478-position model. The record is from RNAcentral.
CAGCACCUCAAGUGGUCAGGAUGAUUAUUGGGCCUAAAGCAUCCGUAGCCGGCUCUGUAAGUUUUCGGUUAAAUCUGUAUGCUCAACAUACAGGCUGCCGGGAAUACUGCAGAGCUAGGGAGUGGGAGAGGUAGACGGUACUCGGUAGGAAGGGGUAAAAUCCUUUGAUCUAUUGAUGACCACCUGUGGCGAAGGCGGUCUACCAGAACACGUCCGACGGUGAGGGAUGAAAGCUGGGGGAGCAAACCGGAUUAGAGACCCCGGUAGUCC